UCGAGGAUCUUCGGCAAUGGGCGCAAGCCUGACCGAGCGACGCCGCGUGAGCGAUGAAGGCCUUCGGGUCGUAAAGCUCUGUCGUGGGGGAGAAAAGGGUAACACCUUGAUCGACCCCAGGAGGAAGCACGGGCUAAGUUCGUGCCAGCAGCCGCGGUAAGACGAACCGUGCGAACGUUAUUCGGAAUCACUGGGCUUAAAGGGCGCGUAGGCGGGCUCGCACGUCAGGGGUGAAAUCCCACGGCCCAACCGUGGAAGUGCCCCUGAUACGGCGGGCCUCGAGGGAGGUAGGGGCGUGCGGAACUCAGGGUGGAGCGGUGAAAUGCGUAGAUAUCCUGAGGAACACCGGUGGCGAAAGCGGCGCGCUGGACCUCUUCUGACGCUGAGGCGCGAAAGCCAGGGGAGCGAACGG
RNAcentral lists this ribosomal RNA (412 nucleotides) under uncultured bacterium. Its description in RNAcentral is "bacterial SSU rRNA". It matches the Rfam family "Bacterial small subunit ribosomal RNA", at positions 355 to 775 of the family's 1533-position model. The record is from RNAcentral.